CAGAAGUCAGGGGGGCAGCUGAAAAGUUGCUCCCUUUUCUCUGCACAAUGGCAAAUGAAAAAAGAAGACACAUAAGGAAGGAUGCAAAUAUGGUCCAGAAUUUUAAAUGAAGAGUAUAUCAGAUUCAUGCCUUUUACCUGAGCAGUGUUGGAAAUCAUUAUUUCUGAGGGAGGAAAAUCACUAAUUUGAGAUACAAUCUGGCACCACAGAAAGAAUAAGAUUUUCUAAUGAGCUCUGUAUGUGUAUUGAUGAUGUCAGCCUGUCUCAGGAUAACAAAGGUGCUAGAUAUUGACUGUUUGACAUGUACCUGAUAUGGCUUAAAUGUUGAGGACAGUACAGAGGAUGUUCUUGCAUAGUAUGAACUUCUGGAUAUUCUUCUGGAGCCACCUGUAGACCUCUGGAAUGCAGAGAAGCACACCUACAAUUUCCACCGGAGGCCAUCACACCUAGAUCCUUGAGGAAACAUUUUGAUUUAAUCGCAACAUUACUCCUUACAACUGUAAAAGAUUAAGAUUUUGUUGAACGUCAUUGUGGGCAAGUGGAUAUCAACUAGCCCACAUAGGAGUAUGAAUCAGAAUAAAAAUCCUAGAGCUGUUAGCUUUUUUUUUUUU
Molecule: long non-coding RNA, 611 nt
Filed under: Anser brachyrhynchus (Pink-footed goose)
Lineage: Eukaryota; Metazoa; Chordata; Aves; Anseriformes; Anatidae
Description: lncRNA (ENSABRG00000010130.1)
Source: RNAcentral